AAGGCGUCGGACUUCGGAUCCGAAGAUUGCAGGUUCGAGUCCUGCCAGGGUCG
Molecule: transfer RNA, 53 nt
Filed under: Haemonchus placei
Lineage: Eukaryota; Metazoa; Nematoda; Chromadorea; Rhabditida; Trichostrongylidae
Rfam family: tRNA
About the family: Transfer RNA (tRNA) molecules are approximately 80 nucleotides in length. Their secondary structure includes four short double-helical elements and three loops (D, anti-codon, and T loops).
Source: Rfam by way of RNAcentral